UACAGAGGGUGCGAGCGUUGCUCGGAUUGACUGGGCGUAAAGGGCGCGUAGGCGGCUUGCACCGUCAGAUGUGAAAUUCCUGGGCUUAACCUGGGGGCUGCAUUUGAUACGUGUGGGCUUGAGUGCGGAAGAGGGUCGUGGAAUUCCCAGUGUAGAGGUGAAAUUCGUAGAUAUUGGGAAGAACACCGGUGGCGAAGGCGGCGACCUGGUCCGUGACUGACGCUGAGGCGCGAAAGCGUGGGGAGCAAACAGG
Molecule: ribosomal RNA, 253 nt
Filed under: uncultured bacterium
Lineage: Bacteria
Description: partial 16S ribosomal RNA
Rfam family: Bacterial small subunit ribosomal RNA
Source: RNAcentral